Molecule: non-coding RNA, 1109 nt
Organism: Urocitellus parryii (Arctic ground squirrel)
Lineage: Eukaryota; Metazoa; Chordata; Mammalia; Rodentia; Sciuridae
Source: RefSeq, a predicted model, not a curated record
GAGGCUGGCUUUGAACUUGCCGUCCUCCUGCCUCCGCCUCCUGAACCUCUGGGAUUACAGGUGUGCGCCACCGCGCCAGCUUGUCAAAGGUUCUUGACAUAAAACUAGCAAAAACCCAGAACUGGAGCCCCCUCCGCAGUGUCGACUCAGUGUGACCCUCCAUUCCAGGCCUGGCCUCUGCUCCCACCCUUCUCUGUUCAGUUGACAGCCUGCCUCUUCCAGGAAGCCAAGUCACUCAUGCCCACAUAGCACCUGUCACAGGCCAGGCCACAGUGCUCUUGUGUAGAUGAGCUUACGCGAGCGAUCUUCAUAACAACCCCAUGAGAUGCAGCAGGAAAACUGAGUCACAGUGCAAAGCCACAGUCAGGAUUGAAACCAUCUAACUAACCCAAGACUUGGCUCUGAACUGCUGUGCCCCAUGGCCUCCUGCUCACCAGGCAGCUGGGAGUGUUUAGCCAGCACAUGUGUGGAGUGUUGGGCACGGUGCCACAGGACACACCACCGCCUGAGAGAAAAGGGAGGCCGUCCUAAGCUCGGUGAGGCUACAGCGUAGACAUCGACCAGCAACCAACAGCAAUGAGAUUUCUACAGGCCUGGGUUUGUCCCAUCUCCAGGAAACUUUAUAUGUUGUCUAAACUGAGCAUCCCAGCAGGCUGCAAGGCAGACGGCAACUCAAGAUUCAGAAUGAUGACCAAUUCCUACCUGGAUCCACACCAUGCUGAAACUCAGCCUGCCUGUGCAGAAAUAAGAGCCUGGCCACAUGACUAACAGCUUUUUUAACUGCCACUCUCAGCAAUGAGGAAGUUCCCCAGCAGACAAGAUACUCUUGAGAUGGCUUUCUUCAAGGGAACUGAAAAGAAAAUGACAUCAGGAUCUAACAGGAUCCCAGGUUCAACCAGAUACUCAAAAUAAGCAAAUGCCCACAGCUCAACUAAGCCAAGAGGGGUUGCUAACCUACCCUUGAGUCAUUAGGGCUGCAAGUCUCUAGCCCAGCACAUCAUGCAGAGGUCUGCCUCCAUGUCACUAGGUUCACAUAAGAGGCUUCACACUUCAGUAAGGAGGCAGGUACAAGCUUGAGGUAGCACCUGAACUACAUCAUUCAGAUACAU